CAUAAGAGGUCCAGCCUGCCCAGUGACUUAAUUCAACGGCCGCGGUAUCCUAACCGUGCGAAGGUAGCGUAAUCACUUGUUCUUUAAAUAAGGACUAGUAUGAACGGCACCACGAAGGUUAUACUGUCUCCUUUUUCUAAUCAGUGAAACUAAUCUCCCCGUGAAGAAGCGGGGAUAAAACUAUAAGACGAGAAGACCCUCUGGAGCUUCAAACAACAUAGAAUUUGCCACAUAACAUCUGAAUCUCCGCAUAUAUAAUCUAUUAGACAACAUUACUAUAAGUUUUUGGUUGGGGUGACCACGGAGCACAAUAUAACCUCCACGCUGAAAGAAUCUUUUUUAAGCUAAGAACUACAUUCCUAAGCAUCAACAUAUUGACAACCAUUGACCCAAUAUAAUUGAACAACGAACCAAGUUACCCUAGGGAUAACAGCGCAAUCUACUUCAAGAGCCCCUAUCGACAACUGGGUUUACGACCUCGAUGUUGGAUCAGGAUAUCCCAGUGGUGUAGCCGCUACUA
RNAcentral lists this ribosomal RNA (520 nucleotides) under Leptophryne borbonica (Java tree toad). RNAcentral describes it as "partial 16S ribosomal RNA". It matches the Rfam family "Bacterial large subunit ribosomal RNA", at positions 1844 to 2567 of the family's 2925-position model. Lineage: Eukaryota; Metazoa; Chordata; Amphibia; Anura; Bufonidae. The record is from RNAcentral.